GUUCCUAUAGUUCAAUGGAUAGAACGCUGGCCUCCGAAGCCGGAAAUUGAAGUUCGAAUCUUCAUAGGAACACCA
RNAcentral lists this transfer RNA (75 nucleotides) under bacterium. RNAcentral describes it as "tRNA-Arg". It matches the Rfam family "tRNA". Rfam says of the family: Transfer RNA (tRNA) molecules are approximately 80 nucleotides in length. Their secondary structure includes four short double-helical elements and three loops (D, anti-codon, and T loops). Further hydrogen bonds mediate the characteristic L-shaped molecular structure. tRNAs have two regions of fundamental functional importance: the anti-codon, which is responsible for specific mRNA codon recognition, and the 3' end, to which the tRNAs corresponding amino acid is attached (by aminoacyl-tRNA synthetases). tRNAs cope with the degeneracy of the genetic code in two manners: having more than one tRNA (with a specific anti-codon) for a particular amino acid; and 'wobble' base-pairing, i.e. permitting non-standard base-pairing at the 3rd anti-codon position. The record is from RNAcentral.